RNAcentral lists this long non-coding RNA (396 nucleotides) under Oryza sativa Indica Group (long-grained rice). RNAcentral describes it as "lncRNA OsMH63_08G007930". Lineage: Eukaryota; Viridiplantae; Streptophyta; Magnoliopsida; Poales; Poaceae. The record is from RNAcentral.
UCGGCAAAGCAAGAUUGGACGGUCCAGAUCUCUAAAGUACGUCAGCACAUAGAAACCCUAGCCGCACUCCCGACCCAGCCGACCACACCGUCUCCUCGUGUUUUCUCUCACGAGAGGAGAAAUCAGCGAAGAAAGCGCCGCCGCUUCACCCGCGUCGCCUCCUCCGCCGCCAUCCCUUUUCCUCCCUCUAACUCCCUAAUUCCGCCGAGCUUCUUCGCCGCAACCACCGUUCGUCGUCCAAGUUUCAUCGUCUGUUGGAUCCAGCGCCUCACAGGUGAGGAGCACUCCGACCUCUUCGGCAUCUCCGCCUCGACCGUGGGGUGUCAUCGCAAGCUGCCGGCGCUGGUUCAUCUCCACCUGACGAUCUCGACCUUCCAGUCGUCUAUGGUGAGGUGA